RNAcentral lists this ribosomal RNA (472 nucleotides) under uncultured organism. Its description in RNAcentral is "partial 16S ribosomal RNA". It matches the Rfam family "Bacterial small subunit ribosomal RNA", at positions 334 to 797 of the family's 1533-position model. The record is from RNAcentral.
CACUCCUACGGGAGGCAGCAGUGGGGAAUUUUGGACAAUGGGCGAAAGCCUGAUCCAGCAAUGCCGCGUGAGUGAAGAAGGCCUUCGGGUUGUAAAGCUCUUUUGUCAGGGAAGAAACGGUGAAAGCUAAUAUCUUUUGCUAAUGACGGUACCUGAAGAAUAAGCACCGGCUAACUACGUGCCAGCAGCCGCGGUAAUACGUAGGGUGCAAGCGUUAAUCGGAAUUACUGGGCGUAAAGCGUGCGCAGGCGGUUUUGUAAGUCUGAUGUGAAAUCCCCGGGCUCAACCUGGGAAUUGCAUUGGAGACUGAAAGGCUAGAAUCUGGCAGAGGGGGGCAGAAUUCCACGUGUAGCAGUGAAAUGCGUAGAUAUGUGGAGGAACACCGAUGGCGAAGGCAGCCCCCUGGGUCAAGAUUGACGCUCAUGCACGAAAGCGUGGGGAGCAAACAGGAUUAGAUACCCCUGUAGUCCCA